CCUGGUGGUCAUGGCGGGAGGUCUGCACCCGAUCCCAUUCCGAACUCGGUCGUGAAAACUCCCAGCGCCGAUGGUACUUUGUCUUAAGACACGGAAGAGUAGGUCGCCGCCAGGC
This 115-nucleotide ribosomal RNA is filed under the name Sneathiella sp. Lineage: Bacteria; Pseudomonadati; Pseudomonadota; Alphaproteobacteria; Sneathiellales; Sneathiellaceae. The record is from RNAcentral.